RNAcentral lists this ribosomal RNA (466 nucleotides) under uncultured bacterium. Its description in RNAcentral is "bacterial SSU rRNA". It matches the Rfam family "Bacterial small subunit ribosomal RNA", at positions 328 to 792 of the family's 1533-position model. The record is from RNAcentral.
AAGCCAGACUCCUACGGGAGGCAGCAGUGAGGAAUAUUGGUCAAUGGCCGAGAGGCUGAACCAGCCAAGUCGCGUGAGGGAUGACGGCCCUACGGGUUGUAAACCUCUUUUGUCGGGGAGCAAAGAGAGUCACGUGUGACUCAUUGAGAGUACCCGAAGAAAAAGCAUCGGCUAACUCCGUGCCAGCAGCCGCGGUAAUACGGAGGUUGCGAGCGUUAUCCGGAUUUAUUGGGUUUAAAGGGUGCGCAGGCGGCACGGCAAGCCGGCGGUCAAAUCGCGGGGCUCAACCCCGCCCAGCCGUCGGAACUGCCGGGCUAGAGUGGGCGAGAAGUGCGCGGAAUGCGUGGUGUAGCGGUGAAAUGCAUAGAUAUCACGCAGAACUCCGAUUGCGAAGGCAGCAUACCGGCGCCCAACUGACGCUGAAGCACGAAAGCGUGGGUAUCGAACAGGAUUAGAUACCCUAGUA